This is a long non-coding RNA of Artibeus jamaicensis (Jamaican fruit-eating bat), 652 nucleotides long. RefSeq lists it as uncharacterized. NCBI's taxonomy places the organism in Eukaryota, Metazoa, Chordata, Mammalia, Chiroptera, Phyllostomidae. The transcript is spliced from 3 exons. The record is from RefSeq and is a predicted model, not a curated record.
GUAGAAAGAUAGCUGAAGGCACUGUUAGUGUGUCCGCUGCCUGACACGAGGUGACACCUUCCUGAUAGAGUACUGAUCCAGGCGUGUGGAAUUCAGGGGCGAAUACCCCAAAUCUCUUCCCUGAUGGAGCUGACAGUUUAGCAGAGAACAACAUGACAGGAAGUUAAAUUUGAUUUUUCACUGUUGACUAACAUUGCUGUGCUGAGAAGCCAAAAGGGAAGGCAGCUGGGUCCUUGCUUCACUGAGCUUACAGUCUUGUACGGGAGACAGAAAAGAAAGUCAUCAUACACACGAGGCUCUGAAAAGUCCUAGAGAAUCAUCAAACCUGAGGAUGGUCUGGGGUCCCUCGAACAACUUCUCCAACAGCACCUCCUACUCUCAGAACCACCAACUCAGAGGCAGAAGGCUGAGUGAGAGCAGAGAGCCCCUCAGCUUCCUGCAACACGUCACCUGCUCAGAGCAGGGUCUCUCAGGACAGCACAGCAGCCGUGAGUGGACACUUCAGGAAGGGGCGACAGAUACGGCCAGGUGCCACAUCUCUGGUAUGGGAGGUCUGACCUUGCAGAAUGGUGACAACUCGUCUUCACAACGUGCCUUGUUACAGCUGAGGAGCCAGCAAGUUUGCCUGGGAUCUCCAAAUUUUCCAGUCAAA